Molecule: long non-coding RNA, 621 nt
Organism: Micropterus dolomieu (smallmouth bass)
Lineage: Eukaryota; Metazoa; Chordata; Actinopteri; Centrarchiformes; Centrarchidae
Exons: 3
Source: RefSeq, a predicted model, not a curated record
UUCCCGCCAGUCCACGAUCGCUCCACCACCAACACCCCUGCAGUGCCUCCCUGUGGUAACACGUGGUAACUGUUGGGGAUCUUGGAGCAGCCCACUGGAGAGAAGAGACCGCACGUUUCCACAGUACAUCCUGGGUUUCCAUGACGACGAAGAAGAAACGCUCACACCCGACCAGAUGAGAAGGUCGACAAAAGAAAGGACACGAUGGAGAGCAUGUGGCAUUUCACGAGACAAGGCAGAACUCCUCCGUCUCCUGAGGCACCCGAAGGUGGAUGUCAACCACCAGACUGAAGGAAUUCGAUCCCCAAAACCCUCCACCCCCACCUCACCUCCCCCAGCAGUCAAGAUUUCAGUGCAGGACUCUUCCUGAGGGAACUGACAGUCGAGGGGAAGCUCCAGCACCACAGCAGUAUACUGAACACACUUCUGCACCAAACCAUCAGCAGAAGUUUCCACCCUGUGAUUUGAAUUAUUUGGUAAACAUACAUUAAACAAGUAACCUAGUAAUGUCAAGAUAAUGCUGUAUUACUGAUCGUAUUUACUUUGUCCAUUUCAUCCAUCCAGUACCAUUUUUAUCCAAGUAUUUAAGCUACAGUUGUGUCUAUGUACUUUGGGGCUGUG